AGCGAACGCUGGCGGCAGGCCUAACACAUGCAAGUCGAACGAAGUCUUCGGACUUAGUGGCGGACGGGUGAGUAACACGUGGGAACGUGCCUUUAGGUUCGGAAUAACUCAGGGAGACUUGCUAAUACCGAAUGUGCCCUUCGGGGGAAAGAUUUAUCGCCUUUAGAGCGGCCCGCGUCUGAUUAGCUAGUUGGUGAGGUAAAGGCUCACCAAGGCGACGAUCAGUAGCUGGUCUGAGAGGAUGAUCAGCCACAUUGGGACUGAGACACGGCCCAAACUCCUACGGGAGGCAGCAGUGGGGAAUCUUGCGCAAUGGGCGAAAGCCUGACGCAGCCAUGCCGCGUGAAUGAUGAAGGUCUUAGGAUUGUAAAAUUCUUUCACCGGGGACGAUAAUGACGGUACCCGGAGAAUAAGCACCGGCUAACUUCGUGCCAGCAGCCGCGGUAA
This 447-nucleotide ribosomal RNA is filed under the name uncultured bacterium. RNAcentral's name for it is "partial 16S ribosomal RNA". It matches the Rfam family "Bacterial small subunit ribosomal RNA", at positions 29 to 523 of the family's 1533-position model. The record is from RNAcentral.